GGCCUUCAAAGCCCCCUGUCUGUCGGCAGGUUUAGGCACAGAGAAGGCUUCUUGUUCUUUAAGGAUUUGGCUCACAAAUAACACCCAGACUGGGCCAAGGCAACUAGCUUGUAAACCGACGGGACUGUAAGCAGACUUUUGCAUUUUAGUAAAGUGUUUUGGAGGAUUUCCUUCACCUUGCUUCACUUUCUUCAUUCCCUGAUGUUGACUGAUGUCUGAGGUGCAGACUAAAGCCCCUGUAGGCCUCUAUCAUAUGGACAGCGAGUAAGUGGCUCCAACAGAGGAGGUGAGUUUAUGCUUUUGCACUUGUCGUUUAGGUUCCAUCAUAUAUUGACGUUUAUCUGCCUUUAAAAGUCUCUAAUAUUCCUCAAAUGCAUCAAAAAUAAAUCAGCGGUAUUAUUUCAAGUAUUGAACAUGUCUGCAGCUUGUUCAUCAUGAAAGCAUCCUCCUCUACUCCAAAGGUGUUUCAAUGUGUCUUCCUGAACUAGACAGAGAAAAAAAAAAGACUGUCAUUAACAUUCUAGGUCUGCAGCUUUAUUUUCGUUGUGCAAUGUGGAAUCAUCUGAGGAGAGGAGGGGGAUGGGUGAGGUACGGAUUGAGAAAAGGCGAAAAAUAAAUCCACAAAUGAACGGUAAUAUUUUAGUUUAUCACAGUCUACUUCAGCUGACACCCAAACACAUACGUAACUCGUGCUGCCAUAUCGACCGAGCACACGAGGAGCACAUGGAUGAGACAUGUUGACCAAACAUAAACUCAAAUGUACCCUUAACUUGAAGUAUUCACUUAUGUAUUUUCUAAAAAUGUGCAAGAAUGUAGGCUAACACCUUUACACCCACCUAUGAAGCGUAAAACACAUUCACAGUCAGGCAGACUAAACCUCAGCCACGGAGAAGCCAGUUACGUCAGUAUAUUUUCACACUGCAGUACUGUCUCUUUGUCUGCUUGUCGGCCAGCCAGCUGCAAGAUGGAGGGCGAGAAAAAUGCUAUUAGUGGACAAUUUUGUAAGACGGAAUACACGGCUUUGUCAUAUUGUUACACUGAAGAAUUAUUUUAUCCAAAGCACGAUGAUUCAUUUUCUCUUGGUUUUUUUUUUUUCUUGAAUUUCUGUGAUGGAGUAUUAGUGUCGACGACGGGGUGUGUGCACGUGGUAUCGUGCACUGAUAUCGAGAACUUGAACUUUACAUUAAAGUCGAUGGGAGAAAGCAGAGCUGCUAACGCAAAAACAGCGAAUGUGAGCGUGGUGUGCGCGAAAAUUCUGUUGUGCACGUCAGUGGGGGAAGGGAUCCUUUUGUUCAGAUGAUUUGUAGCAUCACAACUGUUGUUUGUGUCACACAAAAAGAAACAAUAAAAGAGUUUAUCUCAAUUCUGAAUUUGACAUCUUGUUUCUGUGUAACAUCAAUAGAGUAAAUAAAAACUAAUUCUGUAGUACAAGCGUUUUUUAUGUUUUGGUUGGUUUUAAAAUAAUAAUCUUCUUAAUUAAUUCAUUACACUUUACAGUUUUUACAUUAAUAUAAAAAAAGAUGUGACUGGGCUCAGCUGUUUGAAUCCUCACACCUCACACUGACUCGACUCCAGACGAGCAACAAUGUCGCUGUUGAUUAUUGGGACCGUUUCUAAAACCACCCACCAUGUAGCUCAGCUGAUCGUGAUGCAGUCAAAACAAAAAUCCAAAUCCCCCCUAAACUGACUGGAGCCAAAAAAAAAAAAAAAAAAAAAAA
Molecule: long non-coding RNA, 1718 nt
Organism: Oryzias melastigma (Indian medaka)
Lineage: Eukaryota; Metazoa; Chordata; Actinopteri; Beloniformes; Adrianichthyidae
Exons: 2
Source: RefSeq, a predicted model, not a curated record